Molecule: transfer RNA, 32 nt
Filed under: Eospalax fontanierii baileyi (plateau zokor)
Lineage: Eukaryota; Metazoa; Chordata; Mammalia; Rodentia; Spalacidae
Also listed under: 3 other names
Description: partial tRNA-Thr
Source: RNAcentral
AAAUGCUUAGGUAGUAUAUUUAUUACUUUGGU